ACGAAAUCUGGCAACAAGACCUGUCCCGGGAAACCAGGGACGAUUCCUGAUAUGGCCGGACUCCCAGGAAGCUCAAAGGAGGAGUUUUUAGAGUCGGUGCGGCGCGCUCUGGGCCGCUCUUCAGAUACCGGGCCGCAGCCGCCUUAUCCCCGUCUGGAAGAGAGUCUGGCCCAACUGGAAGCCAGGGCGCAAGAAGCGAAACAGAGAAUCGACCAUGGUCGAAGCGACCUCGUAGACCGGCUGGCCGAGGUCGCUCAGUUGCGGGGCUGGAAAGUGCG
RNAcentral lists this unclassified non-coding RNA (278 nucleotides) under uncultured bacterium. RNAcentral describes it as "contains 16S-23S intergenic spacer region". The record is from RNAcentral.